ACGUGUCACAGGUGCUGUGCGUGGUGCCCGUGACAACAGACAGAAACCGUGCCUUGGGAAGAUCUGGGCACUUCAGGGUGUU
RNAcentral lists this small RNA (82 nucleotides) under Streptomyces sp. CB03234. RNAcentral describes it as "nrdJ RNA". It matches the Rfam family "nrdJ RNA". The record is from Rfam by way of RNAcentral. Lineage: Bacteria; Bacillati; Actinomycetota; Actinomycetes; Kitasatosporales; Streptomycetaceae.